Molecule: ribosomal RNA, 466 nt
Filed under: uncultured bacterium
Lineage: Bacteria
Description: partial 16S ribosomal RNA
Rfam family: Bacterial small subunit ribosomal RNA
Source: RNAcentral
GAUGAACGCUGGCGGCGUGCUUAACACAUGCAAGUCGAACGAUGAAGCCCAGCUUGCUGGGUGGAUUAGUGGCGAACGGGUGAGUAACACGUGAGUAACCUGCCCUCAACUCUGGGAUAAGCCUGGUAAACUGGGUCUAAUACCUGAUAGGAGCGUCCACCGCAUGGUUGGUGCUGGAGAGAUUUAUCGGUUUUGGGUGGACUCGCGGCUUAUCCGCUUGUUGUUGAGGUAAUGGUUCACCAAGGCGACGACGGGUAGCCGGCCUGAGAGGGUGACCGGCCACCAUGGGACUGAGACACGGCCCAGACUCCUACGGGAGGCAGAAGUGGGGAAUAUUGCACAAUGGGCGCAAGCCUGAUGCAGCGACGCCGCGUGCGGGAUGACGGCCUUCGGGUUGUAAACCUCUUUCAGUAGGGAAGAAGCGAAAGUGACGGUACCUGAAGAAGAAGCACCGGCUAACUACGUG